UCGAUGAUUUUUUGGCUGUUUAGAGGUAGGUAAACGUUCUGAAUACUUUUUGGAAAUUUCUUAAAAAUUCCAAAAAGCUUUCAGAAUGUUUGUCCACCUCUAAACUCUGAAAAUCAUCAAAAGCUGGCAAAAAUCCACAUCUGGAGACAUUUUUCUAGUUCAAAGUGCUUGCUAAAUUUUUUAUAGUGACCUAUCCAAAAUGUGCUCUUUCAAAUGAGCACAGGUCUCAUUUAGAAGAAGCUCUCCAAUCCAUAC
This is a non-coding RNA of Caenorhabditis elegans, 255 nucleotides long. The record is from Ensembl. NCBI's taxonomy places the organism in Eukaryota, Metazoa, Nematoda, Chromadorea, Rhabditida, Rhabditidae.